Trichechus manatus latirostris (Florida manatee) is the source of this 71-nucleotide non-coding RNA. The record is from the annotation of a RefSeq genome assembly. Lineage: Eukaryota; Metazoa; Chordata; Mammalia; Sirenia; Trichechidae.
GCAGUGGUGGUUUAGUGCUAGAAUUCUUGCCUUUCAUGCAGGAGACCUGGGUUCAAUUUCCAGCCAAUGCA